AUAGCCAAAACAACGAGGACCGGAAGCAGAAGAACUCAGAACUAGAAGAGAAGCUUCAAGUCCUAGUGACCGAAGAUUUCGACUCAAUCUGAAGCAACUGCAAAGGAAGCUGGAGAGGGCUAAGAUCCUGCUUCUGGAAAAGCAAGAAAGCCAGCAAAACCAGGGAGAGCCCUAAAGAGGCAGUUAGAGUUCAAAUCAGACAAUUGGAAUCUUGAUGUUUGAGAAAGCAGAAAUGAAGACAGCACUGUAUCACACUGAACGUGCUGCUGCCAGGCAGUUUGAAGCAGAAGAACAUGGACAGUGUGAGUCCUACAGCCUCCCUCAUCCCCUGGCAGCCCAGCUUCCCAGAUGGAGGAGUUGAAGCUGGUUAUGAAGCCCUUGAUGCUAACCAGCAGUUACAGCAGGCCAUGGAGGAGCGGGCACAGCUGGAAGUACACCUGGGGCAGGUAAUGGGGUCACUGAAACAACUACAGAUGGAGAAAGAUCAACACGCUGAGAAUCUGAAAGGAGAGAGCGCCUUGUGGUGGCAGAGGAUGCGGGAGAUGUCAGAGCAGGUGCACGCGUUGAGGGAGGAGACGGUGCAUAGCAUGAGUCGAGUACAGGAGCUGGAGACGAUCUUGGCUGAACUAAGGAACCAGAUGGCCUGCUGUGGCUGCCACAGGUCAGAACCUGCUGCUGUCUUUUGCUGAACUCCAGGGGGAGCGAGGUCCUCAUGUAUUCAUGAAGGAGGCCGUGCAGCCCCUGCUUUGAGCUUUGGCCAUUCAAAAUGCUGCCUAGCAGCCCAAGGCCUGGGCAAACCAUAUCCACACCCCCGAGUGGCUCCAAGCAUGCAUGACUGUCACUGUCAUUGCAAUCAUCAUGCUAGCCCCAAUCUCAUGGAUGAAAGCAAGACCUUCUCAUUAACCGAGAGCCUGCAACAACUCUCCCAACAGCUCAAUGGCGUUGUUUCUGAGGAACUUCAGAAAUUGAGGGGAGUGCGGGGGAAAGGAAAGUAUGAUAGAAAGAAACUGAGGCAGGAAUCACCAGAGAGAGGAAAGAUCCUGGGACUGGCCGAUUUGCUGGGCCAUGUUGAGGAAGUUGCCUCUUCCCUGAGGCUUCUUCCUUGAGGCUGUUCACAUGAAGGAGUUGUACCCCGUGGCUGGUUACAUCAUUUUAUCCUACUGUAGAAACACCAGAUGAGAGCUGCUUGGGAGGAAGGGAUGGUGGGGAGAUAAAAACCAUGAGAGAAGUUGGCACAAAGAGGUUAUGGGAUGAAGGGUCCAAGUUAGGCAGAAAAGAAAAUGUUGUCAGUUGCUGGGGAAGAAAGGAAGUCAGAGGGCUUAGACAUGGAGGGGACAGAAGAUUUCCAUGCGCACUCUCAUCUCUUGUAGUCAGCAACAGGUAUCUGUGCGGAGGGCUCUGGAUCAUCCGCUACCCUGAAGGAUCUGGAAAGCAGAUACCAAGAGGUAACAGUCGCCCUGGACUCGAGUUAUAUAACAAUCAGUCGACGGAAUAAAACCAUCGAGUCAUUGGAAAAGCAAGAAAGCCAGCAAAACCGGGGAGCCCUAAAGAGGCAAUUACAGGUUCAAUUCAGAUAAUUAGAGUCUUGAUGUUUGAGAAAGCAGAAUUGAAGACAACACUGUAUCACAAUGAACGUGCUGCCAGGCAGUUUGAAUGUGGGAAUCUGGGCACCCGUCAUCCUUCAACCUGGUGCUUUGACAGGCCUUUAGGGGGAGUCCUUUGGGCCCCAUCUCAACCUCUCUCAUUCUAGAAGAGGCCGAGGAUCUGGCCAGCCAUCUGCUGUAUUCCUGGCAGCAUGUGGGAGAGUUGGAGCAGGAGCAGAGGAAGGCAGAUAGGUACAACAACCAGUUAACCAGAGACAGCGAUGCCCUCAGGCUGGAGUUAUACAAUAACAGCAACAGCAAUAAGGAGCUGAAGCAGGAGAACUCAGCUUUGGCAGAGCAGCUUCAAGUUGUACUGAUUGACAAGGCAGGGAUGCAGUGUGACUUGGAGGAGCUGAAAAAGAAACUGGAACUCACUGAGCUCACGCUUCAACAGUUAUCUAGCUGGUGUGAAGCCCCUGAUGCUAACCAGCAGUUACAGCAGCCCACAGACGAACGGGCACAGCUGGAAGCACACCUGGGGCAGGUGAUGGAGUGGCUGAAGUAUCUGCAAAUGGAGAGAGAGCAGUAUGCCGAGUAUCUGCAUGGAGAGAGUGCCAUGUGGUGGCAGAGGAUGCGGGAGAUGUCAGAGCAGGUGCACACGUUGAGGGAGGAGAGAGUGCACAGCAUGAGUCGAGUACAGGAGCUGGAGACGAUCUUGGCUGAACUAAGGAACCAGCUGAACCCCUGCCCCCGGAGCCUCCAGCAGGGCCCUCCGAAGUGGAGCAGAAGCUACAAGCAGAGGCUGAGCACCUGUGGAAGGAGCUGGAGAAUCUGGCAGGACAGCUUCAAGCCCAAGUGGAAGAAAAUGAGGGCUUGAGUCACCUGAACCAAGAGCAGGAAGAGGUUGCUCAGGUUGUUGGAGCAAGAGGAGAAGUUGCUGGAGCAAGAGGAGAGGUUGCUGGAGCAAGAGGAGAGGUUGCUGGAGCAAGAGGAGAGGCUACUGGAGCUGCAGGAGAGCCUGCUAGAGCAGAAGCGGAAGGCCGCUUCCUUUCUCAGCUGAACCCCUACCCGGAGCCCCCAGCAGGGCCCUCCGAGGUGGAACAGCAGCUACAAGCAGAGGCUGAACACCUGCGGAAGGAGCUGGAGAAUCUGGCAGGACAGCUUUAAGCCCAAGUGGAAGAAAAUGAGGGCUUGAGUCGCCUGAACGAAGAGCAGGAAGAGGUUGCUGAGAUUGUUGGAACAAGACGAGAGGUUGUUGGAGCAAGAGGAGAGGUUGCUGGAGCAAGAGGAGAGGUUGCUGGAGCUGCAGGAGAGGCUGCUAGAGCAGAAGCGGAAGGCCGCUUCCUUUCUCAGCUGAACCCCUACUCCCGGAGCCCCCAGCAGGGCCCUCCGAGGUGGAGCAGCAGCUACAAGCAGAGGCUGAACACCUGCGGAAGGAGCUGGAGAAUCUGACAGGACAGCUUUAAGCCCAUGUGCAAGAAAAUGAGGGCUUGAGUCGCCUGAACCAAGAGCAGGAAGAGGUUGCUGGAGCAAGAGGAGAGGAUGCUGGAGCAAGAGGAGAGGCUGCUGGAGCUUGAGUGGAAAGCCGAGCCUUGAGAGGAGCAGGUGGAGGCGCUCAGGCAUACCGUGCGGAACGACCGUACCACCAUCAGGCGCGCGCUCUCCCAGAAACACGAACUGAAGAAGUAUCUGGGCGAGCUGAAGGAGAUGGUAACCCCCGCCCAAUUCAAGAAGGGCAGGGAGGUGGAGCUGAAGAACCAAGAGGCUCAGAGCCUGCCGCAGCGGGGAGACCAGUGCUGAGGUCUUCUGCAGCAGUACUAUCAGCAGCUGAUCUCUGAGGAGGAGGCACUGCACAGGCAGUUAUUUCUGCAGAUCCAGCUCGUGGACCAGCUGCAGCACCAGAGAAAAGAGUAGCAGAGAUGGCCUGCCAAGAGUUGCAGGAGACCCAGGAAAGGGAGUUGCUGAGGGCAGGUCCCCGAGGGGGAUGAGACCUGGCAACAUCCAUGCCUUCUCAUUCUCUUUCCUGACCCCUUAGGAGCGCCUGGAAGCAGAACCAGUAGCUACAGGCCCAGUUGAGUCUCAUGGCUCUCCCUGGGGAAGGAGAUGGACUGGAGAGUGAGGAGGAGGAGGAGCCUUGGUCCAUGCUGAGCAUCCUGGAGGACCUGGAGAGCUGGGAGACCAUGAUGAGCCUGACUCCCCAUGCCCCACCUUUGCUUCCUCCCUCUCUCCUCCCUCCCAGACACCCUUAUGCUCUUGGUUUUUCUGCCUUCUGAUUUCUUUGGACCCUCACCCCUUCCCUGGGAGCCAGUGGUCAGACACCAUUUCACCUGAGACCAAUAGGUGCACCCUCUGAGGCCCCAAGGGAAGGGCUUCUCUCUACUGCCCUGGCCCGUUCAUCCUGUGUAUCCCCCUACAAGAAUGGGCACCUCCUGCCCGCAGGUGGCAUUUUAAAACUUGGCUUUAGCCAGUGCCGAAGAGGAGCAGGCACAGCUACAUGGGCAGCUGAAGGAGCAAAGGGUGCACUGCCAGCGCCUGUCUUACCCGGUGGCCUUGGCCCAGAAGGAGCCAGAGGCAGCAGCCUCAGCCCCAGGGACUGGGGGCGAUUCUGUGUGGGGAAACCCACCGGACCUUGCAGGGGACCAUGGGGAAGCUGCAGAGCCGCUUUAUGGAGCUCAUGCAGGAGAAUGAGCGGGUGGAGAAACUGGAAUGUCGCUGCAUUCAGCUGUCUGGACAAACAGACACCAUCAGUGAGCGAGAGGAAAGUACGUCACAUCAUACCAGAGCCAGAGGUCAGUGCUGAAGACGUGGACCGGGAGAAUGAGUACAUAAGCAGGCUGGCUCAGGACAAGGAGGAGAUGAAGGUGAAGCUGCUGGAGCUGGUGUUGCAGCUUGUGGGCGACUGCAACAAGUGGCAUGGCAGAUUCCUGGCAGCUGCCCAGAACCCUGCUGAUGAGCCUGCUCCAUGGGACCCAGCCCCCCAGGAGAUUGGGGCUGCCAACAAGCAGGGUGAUCUCCCACAGUGUGGAGCCUGAACAAGAAGAGGCUGGGGAGGGUUUUCCCCACGACAGCCCCACGGCACAGCAGAUCAUGCGGCUGCUUCAUGAGAUGCAGAACCCCCAGGAGCGCCCAGGCUUGGGCAGCAACCCCUGCAUCCCCAUUUUUUACUGAGCUCAGGAGAGCAAGAUGAAGGUAACAAUCAUCUAAAAGCCAGCCACUGUCAGCAAAGCCUGGAGAAAUGGGACCAGAGAGUCUGCCCCUACCACGUCCCUGCCACCCCUUCCCAGUUACCCCUUUACCCUUACAGUAGCAAAAUAAGACCCCUAUCUAGUGAGGGAGACAGGUGCAGAUGAGGUGAAGAUCACUGUCAUCUAAAAGCAGGCCACCAAAUUUAAAAAAAAAAAGUUAUGGGAAAAAAUUUAUGGGAUUAAAAAAAGUUAUGGGAUUAAAGAAAUUAUGAAAAAAGCUGCAGGUAAAAUGUUAUGAAAAAAGUUAGUUAUGGAAAAAAGUUAUGGAAAAGUUAUAGAAAAAAAGUUAUGGGAUUAAAAAAUAGUCAUGGAUAAAAAUUUAAAAAAUAAAAAAUAAUAAAAACAGGCCACCGUCAGCAAAGCCUGGAGAAGUGGGGUUGGAGGCUGUGCCCCUACCAUGUCCCUACCACCCAUUCCCACUCACCCUUUUACCCUUAGAGUAGCAAGACAAGCCGCCUGUCUAAUGGGUUGAGACAAACAAGUGCAGACCCUUUGCCGCCUUGGCCAGGGCUGAGUCCUUAAAUUUCUGGAAGACGAUUAUUGUUAUUUAAGAGCUAGAGGCUCAGAGUUUAUUUCUUUCGAGGAAGCCUCAUGGCCUCUCUGAUGGCGUUAAUCCCACCAAAGCAAUUUUUCCCUCAUGGGGGCUCCCAUUUUACUCAGAGAGGCAGCUGAGGCAGGACAAUGGAGCUAAUGUAGACCAGGCGAGGGCACGAGCUGCUGGAGGUGGGUCCCCUUCCCCAGUGUACAUAUUGUAUCUGUGUAACAUUUUGUAUAUUCUGGGGGUAGGGCUGCCCCCUGUAUCAUACAUAGCAGAGGUUGGAGUUGGCACAUGGGGAGGAGGUUCUAAUAAUUAUUUGUGGCUGGGAAACUUAUUUGAUAGCAUAUGACAGAGGAGGGAGGCAGGGAUGGGGUUGUGGCUCCCUGGUGAUGAGACUCCUGUUUAUUUUGCUUUUCAUUUUGGAAUAAAUAGCUUUUAGCCAUACUGCUCA
Homo sapiens (human) is the source of this 5817-nucleotide RNA transcript. It is a transcript of the gene named GOLGA2 pseudogene 11, with no coding region annotated. The record is from RefSeq and is marked validated. The transcript has 24 exons. NCBI's taxonomy places the organism in Eukaryota, Metazoa, Chordata, Mammalia, Primates, Hominidae.